Molecule: ribosomal RNA, 43 nt
Filed under: Tuber maculatum
Lineage: Eukaryota; Fungi; Ascomycota; Pezizomycetes; Pezizales; Tuberaceae
Description: partial 28S ribosomal RNA
Source: RNAcentral
UGACUUCGGAUCAGGUAGGGAUACCCGCUGAACUUAAGCAUAU